This 352-nucleotide RNase P RNA is filed under the name Betaproteobacteria bacterium. Its description in RNAcentral is "RNase P RNA component class A". It matches the Rfam family "Bacterial RNase P class A". From Rfam's summary of the family: Ribonuclease P (RNase P) is a ubiquitous endoribonuclease, found in archaea, bacteria and eukarya as well as chloroplasts and mitochondria. Its best characterised activity is the generation of mature 5'-ends of tRNAs by cleaving the 5'-leader elements of precursor-tRNAs. Lineage: Bacteria; Pseudomonadati; Pseudomonadota; Betaproteobacteria. The record is from RNAcentral.
GAAGCCAGCCAGACCGUCGCCGCCCGGGAAACCGGGGGGAGGAAAGUCCGGGCUCCGCAGAGCAGGAUGCCGGGUAAUGCCCGGCCGCGAUAAGUCGCCGCUAGCGCGGAUGACGAAGGCGAGGAACAGGGCCACAGAGACGAGUCGCCGCGGGUCAAACCGCGGCGGGUGAAACGCGGCAACCUCCAUCCGGAGCAACACCAAGUAGGCGGACGCGCAUUUGGCAACACAGGCUGCUCGUCUAGUCCGCGGGUAGGUGGCUUGAGCGCAUCGGCAACGAUGCGCCUAGAGGAAUGACGGCCAUAGCGCGCAAGCGCCGUAACAGAACCCGGCUUAUCGGCUGACUUCGGCU